RNAcentral lists this ribosomal RNA (496 nucleotides) under uncultured bacterium. RNAcentral describes it as "partial 16S ribosomal RNA". It matches the Rfam family "Bacterial small subunit ribosomal RNA", at positions 28 to 507 of the family's 1533-position model. The record is from RNAcentral.
GAUGAACGCUGGCGGCGUGCCUAAUACAUGCCAGUCGAGCGAACAGACGAGGAGCUUGCUCCUCUGACGUUAGCGGCGGACGGGUGAGUAACACGUGGAUAACCUACCUAUAAGACUGGGAUAACUUCGGGAAACCGGAGCUAAUACCGGAUAAUAUAUUGAACCGCAUGGUUCAAUAGUGGAAGACGGUUUUGCUGUCACUUAUAGAUGGAUCCGCGCCGCAUUAGCUAGUUGGUAAGGUAACGGCUUACCAAGGCGACGAUGCGUAGCCGACCUGAGAGGUUGAUCGGCCACCCUGGAACUAGGACACGUUCCAAACUCCUACGGGAGGCAGCAGUAGGGAAUCUUCCGCAAUGGGCGAAAGCCUGACGGAGCAACGCCGCGUGGGUGAUGAAGGCCUUCGGAUCGUAAAACUCUGUUAUUAGGAAAGAACAAAUGUGUAAGUACCUAUGCCCGUCUUGACGGUACCUAAUCAGAAAGCCACGGCUACUACGUG